Molecule: RNA transcript, 2742 nt
Organism: Mya arenaria
Lineage: Eukaryota; Metazoa; Mollusca; Bivalvia; Myida; Myidae
Exons: 25
Source: RefSeq, a predicted model, not a curated record
UCCACUAUUGAACAUAUACAAUUCUGAUGUAAAAUAGUUUAAUGUGAAAAGUUAAAAUGUCAUCAAAAUAACUUCUACAUUCGGAUCAUUUUUCAUGUGUCAAGGAAGAUGUUGAUUUGUGUAAAGAGGCCACACAAAUUAAUUGUGAUCAGGCUAAUGAUACGACCGCAGCUAUAAAUAUAAUAAGGGAGAAAAAGGAUGACAUAAAGCGCAUGAAGGAAAAAGUUGAUAAAAAAAAUCUAAACAAUUAAUACCAAUAAGGUAAUAGGCAAUAAAGAAUUGGAUCAUUUGGAAAUCAAACAGAAACAGAAAGUGAAAGAUUCGAACAAAAGUUUCUGGCAGGGAACAUGUACGGCUAACGACAAAAACAAAGACGAAAAUUCACGGGGGAAUGAGAGACCGAGUCAACAAAUGCAAAUGAACAAGUGCAAAUUAUUGUCGAACGUUCAAAACUGGAUCAAACGCGAGGACAAUUGAGUUCAAGUGAUAAAGGUACUCAUAUGAAGAUCAAGUUAUACAAGUGAAAUAAUUAACUGACAAAUGGUCAUAUAUUCAUCCCACAAAUAAAACUUGCGCAUUUAAAAACGUUUUAACUUCAUUCCUUUUAUCUUAAACUGCAUUUGCAAAUGACAUGGCAUCAAAUCAGACUCAGUGUGAAAUGUGCUGUAAUGAAAAUGCAGUCGGAUAUUGCAAAACCUGUGGGAACAUUGGUGAAACGUGUGUUGAAAUUCAUAAGACAGGAAGAGCAUUCAAAAUCCACAUUCUUAACAUGUAUGAAAAGGAUGGGUGCAAUCCAAGGAGCAUUUUGUGUGAUAUCAUACAGGCGAUGUGUACACACCAUCCGACUGAAAGAACGGCAUUAUUUUGUAAAACUCAUGAAACUUUGAUAUGUGGUAGAUGUCUACAAUCCGAUCAUGUUUCAUCAUGCGGUGGAUAUGAUGUUGAUAUGUGUAAAGAUGCCACACAUAUUAAUUGUGAUCCGGCUAAUGAUACGACCGAAGCUUUAUAUAUAAUAAGAGAUAUUGCAGGUGACAUUAAGCAAAUGAAGGAAGAGAUUGAUCAAAGAAUUGAAACAAAUAAUACCAACGUGGUAAAAGGCAAUAAAGAAUUGGAUUCUUUGGAAAUUAAACUAAAAGGAAAAAUUAAAGAUUCCAAAAGAGGUUUUAGUCAGGAAAUAUGUACGACUAACGACUUUAACCUAGACGCAAACUCAUUGGGAAGUGCGAGUCAAGAAAUGCAAAUGACGCGUAAUGAACUCAUCGAAGCAUUUAUUAAAGCGAAACUGGACGCAGAAAAAGCAGAAAUAGCACGAAAGAGACUCGAAAAAGAAUCACUGCAAGCAAAACAGAGCUUAGAAAAGACUGAAAAGACAAGGAAGGAGCUGUGUGACGAGCUAAAACAUGUGAAACAUGACCUUGAGACGCCCGAAAAGACAAGAAAUAAGUACGACCGAGAGUUACUGCAAUCAAAGAAUGUUAUAGAACAAUGUGAAAAGACAAGGCAGGAACUGUGUAAUGAACUGAAACUAGUGAAACAAGACCUGGAAAAUUCAGAAAAGACUAGGAAGCAACAUUGUGAUGAGCUAAAACAAGAGAUUGAUACUUCGGAAAAGACAAGACAGUCACUGCGUGAUGAGCUGAAACAAGUCAAACAUGACCUUGAGACGUCCGAAAAGACAAGAAAUACGUACAACAAAGAGUUACUGCAAUCAAAGAAUUUCAUAGAGCAAUGUGAAAUGACCAGAGAGCAACAAAGUGAUAAGCUGAAACAAGAGCUGGAUAUUUCGGAAAAGAGAAGAAAAACGUUCGAAAAAGAGUUACUGCAAGCGAAGGUGGUCAUAGAACAAUCUGAAAAGACAAGGCAGAAACUGUGUGAUGAGCUGGAACGAGUAAAAAAAGACCUUGAUAAUUCAGAAAAGACCAGGAAACAACAAUGUGAUGAGCUGAAACAAGAGCUUUAUACUUCGGAAAAGAAAAGGAACACGUUCGACAAAGAUUUACUGCAAGCGAAGCUGGUCUUAGAACAAUAUGAAAAGACAAUGCAGAAACAGUGUGAUGAGCUGGAACAACAGAAACAAGACCUUGAUCAUUCAGAAAAGACAAGAAAGUCACUGUGUGAUGAGCUGACACAAGUGAAACAAGACUUGGAUAGAUCAGAAAAGGAAAGAGCUGUAGUUCAGGCGCAGUUUCUACAAGCCAAAGAAUCCUUCAACUAGUUCUCGCUGUGCGCUGGUCGGCCAUCUUGAAAAAUAAAUUGUGAAGGUCGUAUUUCCAGCUUUCCUGCGAGACGGUAGUUCAGAUGCAGUCGUCCUGUGUGUCAGAAAGCUGGUGAUCAAAAUGGUUGAAGGCAGUACCCAAGAAAGUACAUUUACAAAGUUGUGAGGAGUAACCUAGCCUAUAUAACCUGAAGCUCACCCAAUAUGCAGUGUGUUCUGCUCUGUCAAUAACAACUCUGUAUGGCUGGUCUGACCUCAGUGGAGGUUGUUCGUUUAAAUGGUUUCGGGACAUUGAAGUAAAAACAACACGAGAAUGUCCCACCAAGAGUGAAGGGCUGCCUGUUUGCUUCAGAUUCCCAGUCCUCCUCGCUGAUGAUUUCUGAAGUCCUUACGCAGUCACCCCAGUCUUCAACCUCAGUUUGUACAGAUGAGAUGCCAUACACAGGGGAUCCGACAGAAGACAGCAGACAGAAUUCGUCGAUCUAUUUGAAAUGUCAUUGUUUAUUUGAAAAAAAGAUACCUAUCCA